Molecule: ribosomal RNA, 232 nt
Filed under: uncultured bacterium
Lineage: Bacteria
Description: partial 16S ribosomal RNA
Rfam family: Bacterial small subunit ribosomal RNA
Source: RNAcentral
ACCGGAUGCGGAUCUCGAAAGCCUGUCCCAGUUCGGACUGGAGUCUGCAACCCGACUCCACGAAGUUGGAUUCGCUAGUAAUCGCGCAUCAGCCAUGGCGCGGUGAAUACGUUCCCGGGCCUUGUACACACCGCCCGUCAAGCCAUGGGAGCCGGGGGCGCCUGAAGUCCGGGACCGCGAGGACCGGCCUAGGGCGAAACUGGUAACUGGGGUGAAGUCGUAACAAGGUACC